This 431-nucleotide ribosomal RNA is filed under the name uncultured bacterium. RNAcentral describes it as "partial 16S ribosomal RNA". It matches the Rfam family "Bacterial small subunit ribosomal RNA", at positions 29 to 507 of the family's 1533-position model. The record is from RNAcentral.
AACGAACGCUGGCGGCAGGCCUAACACAUGCAAGUCGAGCGCCCUUUCGGGGGCGCGGCGGGCGGGUGAGUAACGCGUGGGAAUAUGCCCUUCUCUACGGAAUAGCCUCGGGACACUGAGAGUAAUACCGUAUACGCCCUGUAGUGGUAAGGUUUAUCGGGGAAGGAUUAGCCCGCGUUGGAUUAGGUAGUUGGUGGGGUAAUGGCCUACCAAGCCGACGAUCCAUAGCUGGUUUGAGAGGAUGAUCAGCCACACUGGGAAUGAGACACGGCCCAGACUCCUACGGGAGGCAGCAGUGGGGAAUCUUAGACAAUGGGGGCAACCCUGAUGUAGCCAUGCCGGGUGAGUGAUGAAGGCCUUAGGGUUGUAAAGCUCUUUCAGCUGGGAAGAUAAUGACGGUACCAGCAGAAGAAGCCCCGGCUAACUACGUG